AGAGCUCAAGAAAAGACUGGAAGAAGAGAAAAUAAAAGCAGAUGAGGAAAGAAAACAAAGAGAGAAUGAGUUCAGACAAAAAGAGGAAAAAAUGAUGAAAAAAUUUGAUGAAAAACACAAAACAGAACAGAAUAAAAGAGAGAUUGAAAACCAGAAACGAUCAGAGGAGGAAAAACAGCAAAGAGCUGAAUAUGAUGGAAAAAUAGAAGAAAUGAAGAGAGAGAUUGAAAAUCAGAGAUCACAGUAUGAAAAACAGCAAAAGGAAAGAGAAGAAGAAGAUAGAAAGAGAGAAGAGAAAUACAGACAAGAUCAAGAAAAGAUGAGAAAUGAUCAAGAACACAUUAUAGCAGAAUUACAGAUGAAAGAAGAAGAAGACAUAAAAAAGAGAGAAUCUGAGCAGAAACGGAGGAAUGAAGAAGAAGAGGAGGAGAGACAGAGAUGGAAGAGAAAAAUAAAAGAGGCUGAAAAUGACAGAAAAGAGACUCAAGAGGAAAUUAAACGACAGCAGAGUGAAUGGGAGGAUGAAAAGAAACGACAGAUGAGAGAACGAGAGGAAGAGCAAAGAAAGAGAAAAGAUAAACAUGAGGAAGAACUGAGAGAAAAACAAGAAGAACUGGAGAAAAUGCGAAAGAGAUUUGAAAGAGAGAGAGAAGAAGAACGACAGAAGAUAGAGAAAGAGAGACAGAAAGAGAGAAGAGAAAGAGGAGAAAAAGAGAGAGAAUAUGAUGAAAAGAAAGAGGAAACAAAAAGACAUUAUGAUCAGCUGGAGCAAAAGAGAAAAGAGGAGUGGGAGAGAAGAAAACGAGAAGAUGAUGAGAAACAAGAAGAAGAGAGAAAGAGAUGGAAGAAAAUGAUUGAAGCUCUGAAACAAGAGCAAGAAGAAGAGAUGAAGAGAAGAGAAAAAGAGGAGAAUGAGAGAAAAGAAAGAGAAGAGAAAGAUAGAAGUGAAAUGAAAAAGGAAUAUGAAGAGAAAAUGAAAAAGAUGAAGAAGAAACAUGAAGGUGAAGCCAGAAAACAAGCAGAAGAACUGAAUGAUUUCAAAGAAGGAAAAGAGCAGCUCCAACAGAAGCUGGAUGAACAUCAGAAUGAAUAUGAAUCACUCAAAAUAUUCCAUCAACACCUGAAAGACCAGAAAGAAAAGGAAAUAAGAGAGUUACAAGAACUUGUUAAACAAGUCUGUCAAAGUCUGCAAGACCAGAAAGAAAAAGAAAUAAAUGAGCUAAAAAAACAAGCUGAAGCACUCAAUAACCUCCUGAAAGACCAGAAAGGACAAAAAAUAGGAGCACUUCAAGAAGACGUUAAACAAUUCUGUCAAAGCCUGCAAGAUCAUAAAGGAAACAAAAUGAAGGAGUUGCAACAAGAAGCUGAAAAACUCUGUCAAACCCUGCAAGACAAGAAAGAGGAACAUUCCAAGAUGCUCCAAAAAGAAGCUGAAGAGAGAAAUAAUAAAUCAAAGAAAGGAUGGUGUUCCCUUAUGUGAUUUUCACAGCACACACACACACACACACACAUAUAUACAUAUAUAUUAGGGAUGUACUGUUUUUGGCCAAAAGAGAAAAAAACUGUUAAGGCUAGAAGGUACAGCUGUGGCUACUGAGCAUGCACACAUCAAUAUAGUGUAAUUUUUGAAUGUGCGGUCUGUUCGUGUACUGCUCAUGCUCACUGGAAAAAGUUUGCUCAAAUAAUGCGCCAGCGGGACAUUUCUGUCUAGUAUAGCUUACUGUGCUGUAACAUGCUGUAGUACAGCUGCACUGGGCCAUGCUGGUAAAAUGACACUACUCUCUCGUGAUGCUCUGCUCUGCUCACAUGCUCUGAUAAUAAUAGCUUUGUAGGAAUAUACAUUAUUCAGAUAAUUAGUCA
Molecule: long non-coding RNA, 1860 nt
Filed under: Sinocyclocheilus anshuiensis
Lineage: Eukaryota; Metazoa; Chordata; Actinopteri; Cypriniformes; Cyprinidae
Description: lncRNA (ENSSANG00000014214.1)
Source: RNAcentral